Molecule: non-coding RNA, 23 nt
Filed under: Xenopus tropicalis (tropical clawed frog)
Lineage: Eukaryota; Metazoa; Chordata; Amphibia; Anura; Pipidae
Also listed under: 2 other names
Source: RNAcentral
UGGUAGUGGGGGACUGCGUUCGC